UGGGGAAUAUUGCACAAUGGGCGAAAGCCUGAUGCAGCAACGCCGCGUGAAGGAAGAAGGCCUUCGGGUCGUAAACUUCUGUCCUUGGGGAAGAAGAACUGACGGUACCCAAGGAGGAAGCCCCGGCUAGCUACGUGCAGCAGCCGCGGUAAUACGUAGGGGGCGAAGCGUUAUCCGGAAUUAUUGGGCGUAAAGAGUACGUAGGUGGCAACCUAAGCGCAGGGUUUAAGGCAAUGGCUUAACCAUUGUUCGCCCUGCGAACUGGGAUGCUUGAGUGCAGGAGAGGAAAGCGGAAUUCCUAGUGUAGCGGUGAAAUGCGUAGAUAUUAGGAGGAACACCAGUGGCGAAGGCGGCUUUCUGGACUGUAACUGACACUGAGGUACGAAAGCGUGGGGAAGCAAACAGGAUUAGAUACCC
This 417-nucleotide ribosomal RNA is filed under the name uncultured bacterium. RNAcentral describes it as "bacterial SSU rRNA". It matches the Rfam family "Bacterial small subunit ribosomal RNA", at positions 355 to 787 of the family's 1533-position model. The record is from RNAcentral.